UACGGAAGGGGCUAGCGUUGUUCGGAAUUACUGGGCGUAAAGCGCGCGUAGGCGGCUUUUCAAGUGAGGCGUGAAAGUCCUGGGCUCAACCUGGGGACGGCGCUUCAGACUGUCUGGCUAGAGUCCGGAAGAGGGUGGUGGAAUUCCGAGUGUAGAGGUGAAAUUCGUAGAUAUUCGGAGGAACACCGGUGGCGAAGGCGGCCACCUGGUCCGGUACUGACGCUCAAGUGCGAAAGCGUGGGGAGCAAACAGG
RNAcentral lists this ribosomal RNA (253 nucleotides) under uncultured bacterium. RNAcentral's name for it is "partial 16S ribosomal RNA". It matches the Rfam family "Bacterial small subunit ribosomal RNA", at positions 524 to 776 of the family's 1533-position model. The record is from RNAcentral.